GACGUAGGGGCCGAGCGUUGUCCGGAGUUACUGGGCGUAAAGGGCGCGCAGGCGGUCCGCUGCAUCGGUGGUGAAAGCCCUCGGCUUAACCGAGGAAGUGCUUUCCAAACUACUGGGCUUGAAUACUGGAGAGGGUCGCGGAAUUCCCGGUGUAGAGGUGAAAUUCGUAGAUAUCGGGAGGAACACCAGUGGCGAAGGCGGCGACCUGGACAGAUAUUGACGCUGAAAACCGAAAGCUAGGGGAGCAAACGGG
RNAcentral lists this ribosomal RNA (253 nucleotides) under uncultured bacterium. RNAcentral describes it as "partial 16S ribosomal RNA". It matches the Rfam family "Bacterial small subunit ribosomal RNA", at positions 524 to 776 of the family's 1533-position model. The record is from RNAcentral.